AUGGGCCGCAGUGCAAUUGCAAAAUCGACUGGUCUUCUCCGGGAAGUUAAGAACAGGCAAAGCUCUAACCUUACGAGCCGGGUGCAGCCAACAAAAGCAAGGUCGGCAGAGACAGCACUGUGGGUGCCACACCCAAGGACAGGGAUCUACUACCCCAGGGGCUUUGAGUGGGUCAUGGAGGAUGUCCCAAGCAGCGCAGCAACGUUCCAGCAGACAUACUGGCUCAGGAGCGGCGACGCAGAGACAGCAAGCUCCCCACGUCAACCGACGGCACAGCUGCCUUUGAUAACCCAUUUCUGUGAAUGCAUAAGAGGCCUCACACUGGAAGAAUCACUGAUAGCAGCAGUUCUACAAGCCACCACCAUUGUUGCCAGGUCGAUACAUAAUAUGAUAAACCAGCUGCUCAGAUUUCCAGCAUGUAGGCACCGCAUCCACCGAAAGAUCAGUGUUAAACUCUGCAUUAAUCUUCUCUAUUGCAUUCUCAUUUUCACUGAUUUUACUUAA
Molecule: ribosomal RNA, 504 nt
Filed under: Triticum aestivum (bread wheat)
Lineage: Eukaryota; Viridiplantae; Streptophyta; Magnoliopsida; Poales; Poaceae
Description: partial small subunit ribosomal RNA
Source: RNAcentral